AGGAUAAACGCUGGCGGCGUGCCUAACACAUGCAAGUCGAACGCGCUUUCGGGCUUCGGUGCGAGAGCGAGUGGCGGACGGGUGAGUAACACAUGGGUACCUACCUUGGAGUGAGGGAUACCGGCGAGAAAUCGCCGACAAUACCGCAUAGGCUUCUUCACAAGGGAAGCAAAGUGACGCGAGUCACGCUUUGAGAUGGGCCUGUGGCCGAUUAGCUAGUUGGGGGGGUAACGGCUUCCCAAGGCGACGAUCGGUAGCUGGUCUGAGAGGACGAUCAGCCACACUGGGAUUGAGAACGGCCCAGACUCCUACGGGGGGCAGCAGUGAGGAAUUUUCCGCAAUGGAGGCAACUCUGACGGAGCAACGCCGCGUGCAGGAGGAAGGUUUUCGGAUCGUAAACUGCUUUUCUCGGGGACGAGCAAGGGACGGUACCCGAGGAAGAAGCCCCGGCUAACUACGUGCCAGCAGCCGC
This 472-nucleotide ribosomal RNA is filed under the name uncultured bacterium. RNAcentral's name for it is "SSU rRNA". It matches the Rfam family "Bacterial small subunit ribosomal RNA", at positions 26 to 518 of the family's 1533-position model. The record is from RNAcentral.